RNAcentral lists this ribosomal RNA (469 nucleotides) under uncultured bacterium. RNAcentral describes it as "partial 16S ribosomal RNA". It matches the Rfam family "Bacterial small subunit ribosomal RNA", at positions 355 to 835 of the family's 1533-position model. The record is from RNAcentral.
UGGGGAAUAUUGCACAAUGGGCGAAAGCCUGAUGCAGCGACGCCGCGUGCGGGAUGAAGGCCUUCGGGUUGUAAACCGCUUUUAAUUGGGAGCAAGCGAGAGUGAGUGUACCUUUUGAAUAAGCACCGGCUAACUACGUGCCAGCAGCCGCGGUAAUACGUAGGGUGCAAGCGUUAUCCGGAAUUAUUGGGCGUAAAGAGCUCGUAGGCGGUUUGUCACGCCUGGUGUGAAAGUCCAUCGCUUAACGGUGGAUCUGCGCCGGGUACGGGCAGGCUAGAGUGCAGUAGGGGAGAUUGGAAUUCCCGGUGUAACGGUGGAAUGUGUAGAUAUCGGGAAGAACACCAAUGGCGAAGGCAGAUCUCUGGGCUGUUACUGACGCUGAGGAGCGAAAGCAUGGGGAGCGAACAGGAUUAGAUACCCGUGGUAGUCCAUGCCGUAAACGGUGGAUGCUGGAUGUGGGGCCCUUCCA